Long non-coding RNA from Schistocerca gregaria, 965 nucleotides. RefSeq lists it as uncharacterized. The transcript is spliced from 2 exons. The record is from RefSeq and is a predicted model, not a curated record. Lineage: Eukaryota; Metazoa; Arthropoda; Insecta; Orthoptera; Acrididae.
GAAUGUGAUAUUCGGAUUGAACAGUACAUUGGGUACUGUUGUUGAAGUGACUGCGAGACACUGUGUACUUUCGUUCAUCAAUUAUAAAGACUGUUUCUGACUGCUGUAUAUAGGACAGACAAGCAGAAACUUUAAUACUAGAUACGCAGAAGACAGAAGAUCUUUAAAAAGUAACAGUUAUCAUUCUCCAUUUUCUGAACAUCAUAUGGACGUGAAAAACAGUCCAUCAGACAUCAUCACCAACUUGAAAAUUCUGAAGUGCAGCAACAGACCUGCUCAAAAACUAAAAGGAAAACAGAUAACAAUGAAUACACAGCUCUCUAAAUUGGAGCUCUGUUCUCUGCCCUCAAACCCAUAAACACACACAACUAAAUAAUUGCUGGACAAAACCCACAAACAUUCAGCUAUUUACACACACACACACACACACACACACACACACACACACACACACACACAAAGAAAAUGCAAGUGGAAUACACUGCAACCGCAAACACCUAAUCUUUCACAUAGAAUAAAUUAAUGCUAGGCCUAACCGCAAAAUUCCCAGUCAUAAAAUUUUGAGAUGAAUAUCUUUCCUACAUUAAGUUAUACAUGGUUGCAGAUUAUAGACUGUGAAAAGAAAACAACUGUGAUGUGAAACACACACCCACACACACAAAAAACACAGUAUGUGGUAACAAUGUAUAUAUACAAAACUUUGUCAGCUUUUCACAUUUGUACAUACUGUUUUAAAACUCAAAUUUAUAAGUAAAAAUCAUUUUUCUCAUUAAGCAGAAAGAAAAUGAAAGCUCACUAAUGACGAUGAAUCUUCAGUAAAACGUGUCUGGGUAAUUUUUUUAAAAAUAGAAAAACUUGUGUUUUGCUCAAGGAAGACCUUCCCCAAGAACAAUUUAAUUUGUAAGCAAACAUGGACAGAAAUGUGUAAGCCUCAAGUGAAUAAUAAAUAUAAUUUCUAAUGUUUA